This 253-nucleotide ribosomal RNA is filed under the name uncultured bacterium. RNAcentral's name for it is "partial 16S ribosomal RNA". It matches the Rfam family "Bacterial small subunit ribosomal RNA", at positions 524 to 776 of the family's 1533-position model. The record is from RNAcentral.
UACGGAGGGUGCAAGCGUUAUCCGGAUUUACUGGGCGUAAAGGGCUCGUAGGUGGCCAACUAAGUCAGACGUGAAAUCCCCAGGCUCAACCUGGGAACUGCGUCUGAUACUGGAUGGCUUGAAUUCGGGAGAGGGAUGCAGAAUUCCAGGUGUAGCGGUGAAAUGCGUAGAUAUCUGGAGGAAUACCGGUGGCGAAGGCGGCAUCCUGGACCGAGAUUGACACUGAGGAGCGAAAGCCAGGGGAGCAAACGGG